UACGUAGGGUGCAAGCGUUAAUCGGAAUUACUGGGCGUAAAGCGUGCGCAGGCGGUUAUGUAAGACAGUUGUGAAAUCCCCGGGCUCAACCUGGGAACUGCAUCUGUGACUGCGUAGCUAGAGUACGGUAGAGGGGGAUGGAAUUCCGCGUGUAGCAGUGAAAUGCGUAGAUAUGCGGAGGAACACCGAUGGCGAAGGCAAUCCCCUGGACCUGUACUGACGCUCAUGCACGAAAGCGUGGGGAGCAAACAGG
Molecule: ribosomal RNA, 253 nt
Filed under: uncultured bacterium
Lineage: Bacteria
Description: partial 16S ribosomal RNA
Rfam family: Bacterial small subunit ribosomal RNA
Source: RNAcentral